CAUUUACAGAGCAACACAACAAGGGAGUGGGUAAGGGGAAAAAAGCAUUCAGUUACCAGUCAAAGAUCCGCAACAACAGGCACAUCUUCUGAUUUGGACUUGGGUUGGGGCUUGGUUUCGGAUCGUUCAGUUUAGGCUCCGGGAGCCACCUUGCCGCGAUAAAGCUUGCCAAACACGUGAAGAGCGGGGACGAAACCGAUGAAGCAGAGGCUCAUCACGAGGACGAUAGUGGGAGAGAUCUUGAGGCCCGGAGCAUCAUCAGUAUAGAAUCGGAGCAUGUUGCGGCUGCCACCUCCGAGUCCCCCGGCAGCA
Molecule: unclassified non-coding RNA, 312 nt
Filed under: Hevea brasiliensis (rubber tree)
Lineage: Eukaryota; Viridiplantae; Streptophyta; Magnoliopsida; Malpighiales; Euphorbiaceae
Source: RNAcentral